Molecule: ribosomal RNA, 544 nt
Filed under: uncultured bacterium
Lineage: Bacteria
Description: bacterial SSU rRNA
Rfam family: Bacterial small subunit ribosomal RNA
Source: RNAcentral
AUUAGAUACCCGGGUAGUCCAUGCCGUAAACGAUGUCUACUAGCCGUUGGGGCCUUUGAGGCUUUAGUGGCGCAGCUAACGCGAUAAGUAGACCGCCUGGGGAGUACGGUCGCAAGACUAGAACUCAAAUGAAUUGACGGGGGCCCGCACAAGCGGUGGAGCAUGUGGUUUAAUUCGAUGCAACGCGAAGAACCUUACCUGGUCUUGACAUAGUAAGAACUUUCCAGAGAUGGAUUGGUGCCUUCGGGAACUUACAUACAGGUGCUGCAUGGCUGUCGUCAGCUCGUGUCGUGAGAUGUUGGGUUAAGUCCCGCAACGAGCGCAACCCUUUUCUUUAUUUGCCAGCGGGUUAAGCCGGGAACUUUAAGGAUACUGCCAGUGACAAACUGGAGGAAGGCGGGGACGACGGUCAAGUCAUCAUGGCCCUUACGACCAGGGCUACACACGUGCUACAAUGGUCGGUACAAAGGGUUGCUACCUAGCGAUAGGAUGCUAAUCUCAAAAAGCCGAUCGUAGUCCGGAUUGGAGUCUGCAACUCGACUCC